This 455-nucleotide ribosomal RNA is filed under the name uncultured bacterium. RNAcentral's name for it is "bacterial SSU rRNA". It matches the Rfam family "Bacterial small subunit ribosomal RNA", at positions 340 to 786 of the family's 1533-position model. The record is from RNAcentral.
UACGGAAGGCAGCAGUGGGGAAUAUUGCACAAUGGGCGCAAGCCUGAUGCAGCCAUGCCGCGUGUAUGAAGAAGGCCUUCGGGUUGUAAAGUACUUUCAGUCGUGAGGAAGGUGUUAAGGUUAAUAACCUUAGCAAUUGACGUUAGCGACAGAAGAAGCACCGGCUAACUCCGUGCCAGCAGCCGCGGUAAUACGGAGGGUGCGAGCGUUAAUCGGAAUUACUGGGCGUAAAGGGCACGCAGGCGGUUAAUUAAGUUGGAUGUGAAAUCCCCGGGCUUAACCUGGGAAUGGCAUUCAAGACUGGUUAGCUAGAGUCUUGUAGAGGGGGUAGAAUUCCGAUGUGUAGCGGUGAAAUGCGUAGAGAUGUGGAGGAAUACCGGUGGCGAAGGCGGCCCCUGGACAAAGACUGACGCUCAUGGUGCGAAAGCGUGGGGAGCAAACAGGGAUUAGAUACC